GCUACAUGUGGCGCCCAAUGUGGGACCUGAAAAUGGGAGACCCGCUGAGAAGCACUGUCUUGGGUGGAGCUCCACAGAAAACAGAAAAAGUAGCAGUAUCCUGCACAGCGGCUUGGGGAGAUGAUCUUCUUUCUUGUCGGUUCUUCUUGAGGCAGCGGAGGGGGAAGAGCAUCAGUGGAGGGAGCCAAAUUUGAGUGAUCUUGGCCUGGGAGCGCAGUAUUUGGGGCUGCCCCAAAUACUGUGUCCCAACAUGGAAAUGGGUACAUGAAAUGUUUAUAGUUACAAAACAAAAGAAAGUAAUAAGUCAAGGCCCCUUUCAGAUGCAUUCGUGGAAAUAUCAGGUAAGUGAAUCAGAGCAGAGCUGGGAAAUCUCUGCUCCAGGUCUCAGAUGCUGCAAUCCGAUGACAUUCUUAGCUUUUGGGUUGGU
This is a long non-coding RNA of Grammomys surdaster, 427 nucleotides long. RefSeq lists it as uncharacterized. The transcript has 3 exons. Lineage: Eukaryota; Metazoa; Chordata; Mammalia; Rodentia; Muridae. The record is from RefSeq and is a predicted model, not a curated record.